Molecule: ribosomal RNA, 497 nt
Filed under: uncultured bacterium
Lineage: Bacteria
Description: partial 16S ribosomal RNA
Rfam family: Bacterial small subunit ribosomal RNA
Source: RNAcentral
GACGAGCGCUGGCGGCGUGCCUAAUACAUGCAAGUAGAACGCUGAAGAGAGGAGCUUGCUCUUCUUGGAUGAGUUGCGAACGGGUGAGUAACGCGUAGGUAACCUGCCUUGUAGCGGGGGAUAACUAUUGGAAACGAUAGCUAAUACCGCAUAACAAUGGAUGACACAUGUCAUUUAUUUGAAAGGGGCAAUUGCUCCACUACAAGAUGGACCUGCGUUGUAUUAGCUAGUAGGUGAGGUAACGGCUCACCUAGGCGACGAUACAUAGCCGACCUGAGAGGGUGAUCGGCCACACUGGGACUGAGACGCGGCCCAGACUCCUACGGGAGGCAGCAGUAGGGAAUCUUCGGCAAUGGGGGCAACCCUGACCGAGCAACGCCGCGUGAGUGAAGAAGGUUUUCGGAUCGUAAAGCUCUGUUGUAAGUCAAGAACGAGUGUGAGAGUGGAAAGUUCACACUGUGACGGUAGCUUACCAGAAAGGGACGGCUAACUACGUG